AGUGAACGCUGGCGGUAGGCCUAACACAUGCAAGUCGAACGGCAGCACAGUAAGAGCUUGCUCUUACGGGUGUCGAGUGGCGGACGGGUGCGGAAUACAUCGGAAUCUACUUUUUCGUGGGGGCUAACGUAGGGAAACUUACGCUAAUACCGCAUACGACCUACGGGUGAAAGCAGGGGAUCUUCGGACCUUGCGCGAUUGAAUGAGCCGAUGUCGGAUUAGCUAGUUGGCGGGGUAGAGGCCCACCAAGGCGACGAUCCGUAGCUGGUCUGACAGGAUGAUCAGCCACACUGGAACUGAGACACGGCCCAGACUCCUACGGGAGGCAGCAGUGGGGAAUAUUGGACAAUGGGCGAAAGCCUGAUCCAGCCAUACCGCGUGGGUGAAGAAGGCCUUCGGGUUGUAAAGCCCUUUUGGUGGGAAAGAAAAGCAGCAGGUUAAUACCCCGCUGUUCUGACGGUACCCAAAGAAUAAGCACCGGCUAACUUCGUG
Molecule: ribosomal RNA, 492 nt
Filed under: uncultured bacterium
Lineage: Bacteria
Description: partial 16S ribosomal RNA
Rfam family: Bacterial small subunit ribosomal RNA
Source: RNAcentral